This 253-nucleotide ribosomal RNA is filed under the name uncultured bacterium. RNAcentral's name for it is "partial 16S ribosomal RNA". It matches the Rfam family "Bacterial small subunit ribosomal RNA", at positions 524 to 776 of the family's 1533-position model. The record is from RNAcentral.
UACGUAGGGUGCGAGCGUUAAUCGGAAUUACUGGGCGUAAAGCGUGCGCAGGCGGCGGCUCAAGUCAGGUGUGAAAUCCCCGGGCUUAACCUGGGAAUUGCGCUUGAAACUAGGCUGCUUGAGUGUGGCAGAGGGGGGUGGAAUUCCACGUGUAGCAGUGAAAUGCGUAGAGAUGUGGAGGAACACCGAUGGCGAAGGCAGCCCCCUGGGUCAACACUGACGCUCAGGCACGAAAGCGUGGGGAGCAAACAGG